RNAcentral lists this long non-coding RNA (344 nucleotides) under Salvia miltiorrhiza (redroot sage). RNAcentral describes it as "long non-coding RNA (SMIL_LNC004191)". Lineage: Eukaryota; Viridiplantae; Streptophyta; Magnoliopsida; Lamiales; Lamiaceae. The record is from RNAcentral.
ACAUGUGUGAUACACAAUAAUUAGAAUAAAUAUCAGUUUUUAGUUCAUCGUUUGAGCGUUUUUUCAAAAAUAUCUCAUCAUGAAGAUAAUUAUAAAAUAAUACCAAUUGUUUCAUUUUUUUGUGACCCGUAAAAAUAAUACGACUAUCGGCAAUUGACGUGUUUCGGCCAAGCGCCAUGUUGACAGUUACGUGGAAUUAAAAAAAANAAAAACUAAAGAAAAUCCACCUGCUAAAAAACACAUCUGUAAAAUUAAAAUAAAAUUAUUUUCUUCCUUGGAACCUUAUUCUAAUUCUUCCAUCAUUCAGAUUCAACGUCCUGCCCCAUACCAUAAAGCAUCAUGAA